Hypomesus transpacificus is the source of this 1869-nucleotide long non-coding RNA. RefSeq lists it as uncharacterized. Lineage: Eukaryota; Metazoa; Chordata; Actinopteri; Osmeriformes; Osmeridae. The record is from RefSeq and is a predicted model, not a curated record. The transcript is spliced from 4 exons.
CUACCCUCCCACCUCCCCUCCACUGGACCUCACCACCUACCCUCCCACCUCCCCUCCCCUGGUUGUGUCUGACACCUCCCGAAGCUCCCCAUCCCUUUGUUCAUCCCCUGGUGGCAGCAGGGCUCAUCCCAUCGGACCUGGCAGAGAUCCUGGCACCCCGCAACUAUCUGAAAAAACAACAGCGGUGGCUGACUGUGGCUGCAAGGGUCAUCACGGGAGAUGACUACCAGCGGCUCCUCCGGGAGCGUGAAGAAAAAGAGCAGGCGGUAGCUACCCUCAGGGCGCAAAAGGCACAGGAGAGGAGCGAGCGGGCCCGGUUAAAGGCGGCCCGCCCCACCAUCCGCCAACGGAACGCCACCGGCAGGAAGAACACCCCCGCAACCUCCUCCACCACCACCACUGGUCCUGGGACCACCGCCGGCAGGAAGAGCCCCCCCCCAGCCUCCAGCCGCCGUGCCUCUUCACCCCCCAGCACCUCUGCUCUGUCCAUCUCUGGCAACACCAUUGCCAGUCCCUCAGCCCACUGCCCCACUCCUAGCCACGAGGCUCCCCCAACAACAACAAGGGCCCGCGCCCUUCCAUUCGACUGCCUGCCUCUACCUUCCAACUGCCCGCCUCCACUGUAAAAAGGAAAAGAUCAGCGGCCAGUACACCUCCAACCCAUCCUCCCUCCACAGCUUCAACCCACUCGGAUUAUCAUUCAUCUGAGCCAAGAACCCGUUCCCCGCCCUCCUCGUCUUCCCAAGAACCAGCGCUCACCAGGCCCAUGACACCACCAACAGCUGGACCAUCAACAGUGGUAGAGGAUGGGGUCAGUCUCUGUCGGUCGUGUUUGGAGACUGACUCCCCUCAAAAAAAUGUCGAGGUGGUGUCAUGGGUCCAGUGUGAAUACUGUGAGCGCUGGUUCCACUCCUCCUGUGUGGAUUGGGAGGACGAGGAGGAUGGGGACUUUUACUGUACAUAUUGUGUUGAAUGAAUGUGUAAUUAAAUUUAUUUAUUUGAUUUGCUGUGUCUUAUCAUGCUUGGUUUCAUGUAAACAAACAACCUAAAUGAUAAAUGUGUACACUUAACCUAAUAUAAAUAAUGUGUAAAUGUAGGACACCAAACACUACUUUUAAUAGUUAGGCUAAGAGACCAAGUUUAAGCAAAGAGGGUAUCGAUACACUCAAAUUGGGAAUGAUGUCCUCAGCUGAAGAUGAGAGGAAUAAAGGAAGCGUAAACCGGACGAUUCGCAUUUUCGUUGAACAGUGGUUGAACAGACAGAACGGACCACCAUGACUAGGUUAGUAGACUUCGUCGUCACGUUCGUCAAUGUUUAUCACUUUGACAAAGCUAGCCUAGUCUAGCUAGCUAGCCAUGGGGAAUCUCUUCCGUCUGUUCAAUCACUCUUCAACGAAAAUGCGAAGUUUGACGCUGCAUAACAUGACAUGGUAGAGCUAGGCUAGAGCUAGGCUAGCUCUGGACGUUCUGCACUGCACAUAAGCCUAUGGUUUGAAAGCAUGUUUGAAUAUUAAAAUAACAAAGUAGGAGGCUGUAAUUUGGUAUACAUGCAAUAUAAGGUGUAUACACAUCGUAAACUUACUUUAUUUCGUUUCUGUGGCAACUAUUCCUUUACAAACUAGCUGAAAAAACGGUCUCGGCCGAUAAUUGGGUCUAGAAAGUUGGGGUGGACGAUAAUGGGACCCCCUGACUGCCAAAAUAUUUUUUUUUUUUUUUUUUUUGGCAUAUCCCUAUUCGUUUUUAUAACCGGAAUGUUGUAAUACACGAGUAUAUAUUAAAGUACAAUGCUUUGACUUGACGUUUUUAAUUAGUAUUUUAUCGACGUUUUUGUGAAAUUUGUAUGAGCGUCGAGAGCUAGGUGGACGAUAA